UGUAUCUUCGAGUGAAUUUGAGAAACAAAAUCCGACAAAUGAUUCAGUUUGUGUGUUUACAAGCUAAGCUAUUGGGAGAUUGAAGCCAAGGCACAUUAACUUCAAAUUGGGGAUUCUGACAAAUUUUGAUGCUUGAAAACGGCAUUCAGCUUCAGCCCAUUCGCCUGGCUCGUCGUCUCCGCUGAACGGAUCCCAUGGCCAGCUUUGUUUCUGUUUCUAAGUUGUUCGUUGGCUGGAAGCCAACCCCACUAUCAAAUUUACCUGCGCGCGACUCCUUCAGCAGUUCGAAUUCUCUAAGAACCAAUGCUCUCUCAGUGAAAUCCGAUUACUCUUGCUUUGAAGUUAGGGAUUUAAGCUAUCGACCUCCAGGGACCGAGCAUUCUCUUCUCGACACAGUUAAUUUUUCCCUUCGAGAGAAAAGUUUUGGGUUAAUUUUUGGACAAAGUGGAAGUGGGAAAACUACUUUAUUGCAGCUUCUUGCAGGUCUGAGCAAGCCAACUUCUGGUUCCGUUUAUGUCCAAAAGUACGGUAAAGAUGACAAACCAUGUCAGUCUUCUCAACCGUUAACCACUGAUAGGGUUGGCAUUGUCUUUCAAUUUCCAGAGAGGUACUUUGUUGCAGACAACGUGCUAGAUGAAGUCACAUUUGGGUGGCCGCGGCAGAAGAGUGAUGUUUAUUUGAAACAGGACCUUGCCUUGAGACUCCAAAGAGCAAUUAAUUGGGUGGGAUUAAAUGGCAUACCCUUGGACAAAGAUCCUCACUCUCUCAGUGGUGGCUACAAGCGCCGUCUUGCCUUGGCAAUCCAACUGGUGCAGUUCCCAGAUCUGUUAUUACUGGAUGAGCCUCUAGCUGGUCUUGAUUGGAAGGCUCGUGCUGAUGUUGUGAAGCUUUUAAAGAAUCUAAAGAAAGACUUAACUGUACUUGUCGUCAGCCAUGAUCUCAAAGAGUUUGCUGGCUUGGUUGACUAUUCAUGGAGAAUGGAAAUGGGCGGUGUUCUUAGAGAAGAAGCUCUGCCUGUUUAAUUUGUAAUUUUUGACUAUGCGUUCAUGCUGUGAGUAUAAUUUCCUGCUGUUAUGGCUUCUUUAUUAUUUUCUCUUGCUUCUUCCAUUUCUGUUCACAAAAGCUUGCGACAGUCUGGUGGCCAAGCUUGUGUUGGAUUUUCUAAAAUGAACUGUUCUUUAUCUAGUCAUGUAGCUAUGAGAACUAAAAUUUGUCAGUUUACCAGGAGGAGAAUAUCCAUGUUUAUACCAUGGAAUCAACCACAGCUGUGUACACUGGUGCAGUUUCAUUCACGCUUUUGCGAGUCACUGCAUCAACUCAAGGACCAAAACUGGUCGUAGAUUCGCAAGGUUAUGGUAACCAACCCAUAUUGAAUUGCCUCUGUUUCUAAUGGGGAAGUUUUCGAAUCGUUGUACAUCCAAUAAUAGUGUCAGAACUUUAAAACAACAUAUAUGCCGAAACAAUUUUGGACUGAAGUCUUUUUCCAAAUCUUCAACAUACUAGACUUUGUUAUUA
RNA transcript from Cucurbita maxima (winter squash), 1515 nucleotides. It is a transcript of the gene named ABC transporter I family member 11, chloroplastic, with no coding region annotated. The transcript is spliced from 11 exons. NCBI's taxonomy places the organism in Eukaryota, Viridiplantae, Streptophyta, Magnoliopsida, Cucurbitales, Cucurbitaceae. The record is from RefSeq and is a predicted model, not a curated record.